This 436-nucleotide ribosomal RNA is filed under the name uncultured Ruminococcus sp. RNAcentral's name for it is "bacterial SSU rRNA". It matches the Rfam family "Bacterial small subunit ribosomal RNA", at positions 341 to 792 of the family's 1533-position model. Lineage: Bacteria; Bacillati; Bacillota; Clostridia; Eubacteriales; Oscillospiraceae. The record is from RNAcentral.
ACGGGAGGCAGCAGUGGGGAAUAUUGGGCAAUGGGCGCAAGCCUGACCCAGCAACGCCGCGUGAAGGAAGAAGGCUUUCGGGUUGUAAACUUCUUUUGUCAGGGAAGAGUAGAAGACUGUACCUGGCGAAUAAGCCACGGCUAACUACGUGCCAGCAGCCGCGGUAAUACGUAGGGAGCGAGCGUUGUCCGGAAUUACUGGGUGUAAAGGGAGCGUAGGCGGGACUGCAAGUCAGAUGUGAAAUGCCGGGGCUUAACCCCGGAGCUGCAUUUGAAACUGUGGUUCUUGAGUGAAGUAGAGGCAAGCGGAAUUCCUGGUGUAGCGGUGAAAUGCGUAGAUAUCAGGAGGAACACCGGUGGCGAAGGCGGCUUGCUGGGCUUUUACUGACGCUGAGGCUCGAAAGCGUGGGUAGCAAACAGGAUUAGAUACCCUGGUA